RNAcentral lists this ribosomal RNA (253 nucleotides) under uncultured bacterium. RNAcentral describes it as "partial 16S ribosomal RNA". It matches the Rfam family "Bacterial small subunit ribosomal RNA", at positions 524 to 776 of the family's 1533-position model. The record is from RNAcentral.
GACGGAAGGUGCAAGCGUUGCUCGGAAUCACUGGGCGUAAAGGGUGCGUAGGCGGCCGCGCAAGUCUGGCGUGAAAGCCCCGGGCUCAGCCCGGGAAGGGCGCUCGAAACGGCGCGGCUCGAGUGCCGGAGGGGAGAGUGGAAUUCCUGGUGUAGCGGUGAAAUGCGCAGAUAUCAGGAGGAACACCGGUGGCGAAGGCGGGACUCUGGGCCGAUACUGACGCUGAGGAGCGAAAGCGUGGGGAGCAAACAGG